UGAAUACGAGACGCUAAGGCGUCGAAGUAGUGUAUGUCAUACUUCCAAGAAAAGCUUGCACUGUCAUAGAUAAAAAACGCCUGUACCAUAACCGACACAGGUGGGUAGGUAGAGUAUACUAAGGGGCGCGAGAUAACUCUCUCUAAGGAACUCGGCAAAAUAACUCCGUAACUUCGGGAGAAGGAGUGCCUUAUUCGUAAGGUUGCAAUAACAAGAUCCAAGCAACUGUUUAUCAAAAACACAGGUCUCCGCUAAGUCGUAAGACGAUGUAUGGGGGCUGACGCCUGCCCAGUGCCAGAAGGUUAAAGAAGUUGGUUAGCAAUUGCGAAGCUGAUAACUGAAGCCCUGGUGAACGGCGGCCGUAACAAUAACGGUCCUAAGGUAGCGAAAUUCCUUGUCGGGUAAGUUCCGACCCGCACGAAAGGCGUAAUGAUUUGGAUACUGUCUCGGAGAGGGGCUCGGUGAAAUAGACUUGUCUGUGAAGAUGCGGACUACCUGCACCAGGACAGAAAGACCCUAUGAAGCUUUACUGUAACUUGAAAUUGAAAUUGGACUUUAUUCGCGCAGUAUAGGUGGGAGGCGUUGAUUAUAAUCUUGUGGGAUUAUUGGAGCCAUCAGUGAGAUACCACUCUUGUAAUGUUAGAUUUCUAACUUUGAAUCAUUAUCUGGUCAAAGAACAGUUUCAGGCGGGCAGUUUGACUGGGGCGGUCGCCUCCUAAACGGUAACGGAGGCGUACAAAGGUUUCCUCUGAACGGUUAGAAAUCGUAUCUAGAGUGUAAAGGCAUAAGGAAGCUUGACUGUGAGACCUACAAGUCGAGCAGGGACGAAAGUCGGUCUUAGUGAUCUGACGGUACUGAGUGGAAAGGCCGUCACUCAACGGAUAAAAGUUACUCUAAGGAUAACAGGCUGAUCUCCCCCAAGAGUUCACAUCGACGGGGAGGUUUGGCACCUCGAUGUCGGCUCAUCGCAUCCUGGGGCGGUAGUACGUCCCAAGGGUUGGGCUGUUCGCCCAUGAAAGCGGUACGCGAGCUGGGUUCAGAACGUCGUGAGACAGUUCGGUCCAUAUCCGGUGUAGGCGUUAGAAUAUUGAGAGGAGCCUUCUUUAGUACGAGAGGACCGAGAAGGACAUACCUCUGGUGUACCAGUUAUCGUGCCAACGGUAAACGCUGGGUAGCUAUGUAUGGAGUGGAUAACCGCUGAAAGCAUCUAAGUGGGAAGCCCACCUCAAGAUAAGUAUUCUC
This 1242-nucleotide ribosomal RNA is filed under the name metagenome. RNAcentral describes it as "bacterial LSU rRNA". It matches the Rfam family "Bacterial large subunit ribosomal RNA", at positions 1564 to 2815 of the family's 2925-position model. The record is from RNAcentral.